This 1829-nucleotide long non-coding RNA is filed under the name Zea mays. RNAcentral's name for it is "long non-coding RNA (ZMAY_LNC002046)". The record is from RNAcentral. Lineage: Eukaryota; Viridiplantae; Streptophyta; Magnoliopsida; Poales; Poaceae.
GUAGUGAAUAACAUCGUUGAAGAAGAUAUAUAUCUACGACAGCAAAAGGUAUAUAAUUAGAGUGCUAAACCAAUUGCUAAGCUAGAUCUAGGUAACAAUGACAUUUCAGAUUUUGAUGGAAAAAACAUUUGAAUAUAUGCUAGAUAGAUUUUGUUGAUUUUAAACAAUCAGUAUACAGUUAAUUCUAUAGAUAGAAUGGAACAUAACAUUUUUCUUGACUAUUAAAGUUAAUUGCAUAAAUUUUAUUGGCUAUUAAAAGAAUAGCAUACGAACAUUUACUUCUACAAAUACAAUGCAUCAUAAAAUUUCUUUAACUAUUAAAUUGGUAAGAAAAACCUAGACAGUUUAAUGGGAUUAUAAUAUCUUAAAAUGUAACUUAAUUAGGGCAAUACUUGACGAAUCUAUAGUUGUAAACACUGUAGUAGUACACAUUAAGGUGGUGACAAAGAGAAAAACUGAAGUAUUACAUUUUUCAUAAAGGAGAUAUCUCAUUUGAUUUACUCGAUCAUUUGUAGUCGAGCUAUUUGUUUUCUAAAAAAGCUAAAUAAGACGAAACAUUAACAUAGACGUACAUAUCUUAGCAGAAAAGAAUCUAACUAACUAAAAACUAUUCUUUUAGUAAAGAACUUACCUGCUUUUUAUCUCUUUUCUGCUAGGUAAGUCACCAUCAUCCUUUGCUUGAGACGUCGAUAAUUGAAACAACUAGAGGACAACUACUAAGACUGUUUCUGUAAGAUCUGUAAGAGGUGUACAAUAUCCUCAGUUUGGUAGAACUAAACAGUACGCGCGAUUUGGCCAUGAUCAAUACACAUUUGGGUUAUGUAGCCUCCUGCAAACAAUGGACAUCUAUGAUCAAUAUCUUAUAGACCUUUAAUAUACUUUUUAAAGAGAAAGUAACAUAACAGUAAGCACACACUACUAAACAUAUUUAUGUUGAUCUGAAUUUUCAUUAUUUGCAUACCACGUCAAUAUUUCAAAAGAAUACAGGAGCAUAUAGUGGUUGGAAAAAAUGUCCUGCAUGUGGUAUGAAUUGUGGUUAAUAAAUUGUAAAAUAGCUUUACGCAUAACGUUUGGCAGAUGAAUGCAUAUAUAGAUAUGUAAAAAUGUACAUGUAGAUUUAACUAUUGCAAGAAUUGAUGCGCAUAUUCAUAUAGAAGAAGCACACAAUUACUUGAUAUUUACAAUAUAGCAAUGCCACAUGGAAAUAACAUAAGACAACACUCAUUAAAACAAAUUUCUGUAAAUAUGUUCGUGUUCACCACAAAAUGCAUUGAAAGAUUUUUUUGUAUAACCGGGAAAUGAAGUAUGUUCAAAACAUGGAUAGAGGAACAGGGGCCUGCGAGUAUAACACAAUAAUUUUUUGGAAGAAAUAAAGAUGUCACUUCAGGUGCUUAACAAAGGAAGCACUAAAAGUAUAACAUUUUUUAUAAAAAUGACAGAAUUAGAUUUUUUUUUCACUCUUGGUGGGUGGGUGGGUGGAUGGGGAGGCUACAAUGUAAAGCAGGUAGGCAUGUAAGAAACAAAGGUUUUGAUAGAGUUGUUAGAUCUUCAGGUUAAACAAAUUGUAGUAAAUCUCUGUUUCAAACUUAAAGAUUUCUAUUGGAUUAUGUUCCUCGUAACACUGAACACAUUAGCUUAAGUGUCAGCAUGUUAAUCAAUAAGAACAAUGAAUGGGAAUUACCUGCAACAAAGGUUAUCGAUGUAGUAAAACUACCUUGGAGACAAUGGUGUAGAAACCAUUAUCAAGACAAUACGUUGUAAAAGUUAGCCACUCCAAACGGGACACUUUCAAGUGAAGGUCGUUGCAGUAUUUAGCAUCUGGAAGCAAC